Molecule: long non-coding RNA, 1388 nt
Filed under: Canis lupus familiaris (dog)
Lineage: Eukaryota; Metazoa; Chordata; Mammalia; Carnivora; Canidae
Description: lncRNA (ENSCAFG00000051182.1)
Source: RNAcentral
UAUACCAUAUACAAAAACUAACUCUAAAAAAAAAAAAAAAAAAAAAAAAAAAAAAAAAAACUAACUCUAAGGGAAUAAAGACUUGAGUGUAAGACCUGAGACUGUAAAACUUCUAGAAGAAAACACAGGCAGUAAACUUCUUGACAUAGGUCUUGGCGAUGAUUUUUUCAAAUCUGACACCAAAAUCAAAAGCAACAAAAGCAAAAAUAAAGAAGUGAGAAACGUCAAACUACAAAGUUUUUGCACAGAAAAGAAAACCUUAACAAAAUGAACAAGCAACCUACCGAAUAGGACAAAAUAGUUUACAAAUCAUAUAUCUGAUAAAGGGCCAUUACCCAAAGUGCAUAGAGAACUUCUACAACUCAAUGGCAUAAAAACGAACAAUCUGAUUGAAAAUGGGCAGAAGAUCUGAGUAAACAUUUUUCCAAAGAAGAUAUACAGAUGGCCAUCGGGUACAUGAAGAGGUGCCCAACAUCAUUAAUCACAGGGAGACUCAAAUCAAAGCCACAAAUCAAAACUAUAAACCACAACAGCCUCAGACCUGUUAGAACGUCUUUUUUUUUUUUUUUAAUCAAAAAGAAGGAAUAACAGGUAAUGGUGAGGAUGUGGGGAAAAGGGACCCCUGGCGCACCGCUGCUUGGAGUGUCAACUGGUGCAGCUCCGUGGAACAGUAUGAAGAGUCCUCAAAAAAUUAAAAAUCAGACUACCACGUGAUCCAGCAAUUCCACUUCUGGGUAUUUCCCUGAAGAAAGUGGGCACAGCAAUUCAAAAUCCUAUAUGAUCCCCAUGUUCACUGCAGCAUGACUUACGGUAGCCGAGACGGGUAAGCAAGCCAAGAACCCAUCCACAGGUGAGUGGACAGGGAAGACGCGGGAGACGGACGUACAUACCAGGACGUUGCUCAGCCACGAAAAAGAGUGAGAUCUUGCCAUUUGUGACAACAAUGGAUCUUAGGAGCAUUAUGCCAAGUGAAAUAAGUCAGAGGAAGCCAGACGCAGCACGAUCUCUCUUCUAUGCAGGAUCUUUAAAAAAAAAAUCAAGUUCAUAGAUACAAAGAACAGAUGAUGGUGGCAAGAGGCAGUGGUGGGGGCGCAAGAAAUGGGUGAUUCGUUGGGGUUUUUUUCUUAGUCUAAAUAUACUGAAUAAAAAAUUCUUUAAAGCCAGUUUGUAGGGCAGCGGGCGGGGGCGGGGGGGCCUCAGCGGUUUAGCGCCGCCUUCAGCCCAGGGCGUGAUCCUGGAGACGCGGGAUCGAGUCCCACCUCGGGCUCCCUGCAUGGAGCCUGCUUCUCCCUCUCCCUGGGUCUCUGCCCCCGCCCCUCUCUCUAUGUCUCUCAUGAAUAAAUAAAUAAAAUCUUUAACAAAUAAUAAUAAUAAAAUAAAUAAACAAA